This 296-nucleotide long non-coding RNA is filed under the name Panax ginseng (ginseng). RNAcentral's name for it is "long non-coding RNA (PGIN_LNC001451)". The record is from RNAcentral. Lineage: Eukaryota; Viridiplantae; Streptophyta; Magnoliopsida; Apiales; Araliaceae.
UCAUGUUUAUAUUAUGUUGAAAGUCAUCUGUGGCCUGUAGUGCAUAGAUGGACUUGGUAUGAUUAUGACCAGGGAUUAUUCGGUGUAAUCAUGACCGUAAUGUUACAAAUGAUGUGGUAAAAGUCCUCAUUGGCCCGUAGUGCAUUGAUGGACAGUUGUUGGCAUGAUCAUGACCAUUAAUGAAUACACGAAUGUCCUUGGCUGUAGUGCAUGGAUAAUUUGUGGUCGUGAUACUAAAGAAUAUCCUUGGCCGUAGUGCAGGGGUGAUUCGAUGAUGUGGAUUAUUUAUUAAGCUG